AGCUUAUCGUGGCCGAUCAGAAGACCCGUCAACGUAGUGUAUGAACGGUCCCUCGACAAUGAUUCCUUAGAGGCAAGUAAGGGCUAUUUGCUUCGGGAAAGACAGACCAGCUCCAACUGGCCACAGUCCCCACCAUUCCCUACUGUUCAGCCUCUGCCAGCUUCGCCUGCGUCCUUUCCAUCCCAGGGUCCGCAGACGUUUGAAUUCAAGAUCCCCGCCCUGGCCUCUUCGAGACCCUCACCUUCAGGAGUACCUGGACGAGGCAGUAAAAAUACGACCUGGCCCUUUGGAUCACGGCACACAGGAUACCGUUACAUUUCAUCUCGGGACGAUUGUUCUCUGAGCAAAGUGUGUUAUUUUCCUGGAGGUAAUCCCUUACCAGAUUGUGGAUUCUCCGUGUUCAACAUCAGCCACUACAACCAAAAAGCAACGAACUGUGUUAUUGACAAUGUUUUAAUUACAAGACGUAAAAGAUACAAGACAGCAAAAACAAGAAAGUGAUCUGCCUAGGAGUGGCAUUGGUGUAUUUAAGAAAACUCACAGGGGCCGCGGCUCCGGUAGGAAACACACUACAUUUUUUUUCCCCCCUUAAUGCUAAAAAUUCUAAUAGCAAAUGUGAGAUUGCUUUGAAAGAAAUAAGAGCAUUAACAGAAACGAUUGUCCCUGGCAGCGCAAUAAAUGAAAUUAGAAGCUCUUAACA
Molecule: long non-coding RNA, 700 nt
Filed under: Felis catus (domestic cat)
Lineage: Eukaryota; Metazoa; Chordata; Mammalia; Carnivora; Felidae
Description: lncRNA (ENSFCAG00000050733.1)
Source: RNAcentral